GGACAUGAGCUCAGUGGUAGAGUAUUUGCCUAACACGCAUAAAAUCCUGGGUCCAGUCCCCAGGGAUAUCCA
This 72-nucleotide transfer RNA is filed under the name Cricetulus griseus (Chinese hamster). It matches the Rfam family "tRNA". From Rfam's summary of the family: Transfer RNA (tRNA) molecules are approximately 80 nucleotides in length. Their secondary structure includes four short double-helical elements and three loops (D, anti-codon, and T loops). The record is from Rfam by way of RNAcentral. Lineage: Eukaryota; Metazoa; Chordata; Mammalia; Rodentia; Cricetidae.